This is a long non-coding RNA of Talpa occidentalis (Iberian mole), 398 nucleotides long. RefSeq lists it as uncharacterized. NCBI's taxonomy places the organism in Eukaryota, Metazoa, Chordata, Mammalia, Eulipotyphla, Talpidae. The record is from RefSeq and is a predicted model, not a curated record. The transcript is spliced from 3 exons.
CACGGGUGGCCGGGCUUAGGCGAAGUUGACGGCAGGUGGGGACCUGAAAGGGGCGAUGUGUGGCCCCACCUGCCUGUUACUCGGUAGGCGGUGCUCAUGCCUAGAAAGAAAGGCUAGACAGCCUCUGUUUCUGUAAGAUCAUUGACUCUGUGACUGAAUUUCAAACUUACUUGAAAGCAGCCCUACCCCUGGACUCUUUUUUUUAAUCUAGAGAUCCCCAGGAUGUGAUGGGUACUUCAGAAAGGUCAUCCCUCCUUUGAUUGCUAUAGAAAGCCUAUUAUAAAGAUGAGUAAUGGUUAAUUUGAAGAAAGAAAGGAAAAAUUCAUACACAUGCACACACGUUCACAUAUACACAGAAUAAACUUAUAGUAUAUACCAGCAACUGGUCACUAUUACUU